This 535-nucleotide unclassified non-coding RNA is filed under the name Hevea brasiliensis (rubber tree). Lineage: Eukaryota; Viridiplantae; Streptophyta; Magnoliopsida; Malpighiales; Euphorbiaceae. The record is from RNAcentral.
AGAGAGAGAGAGAGAGAGACAUGGUCAGAACCAACUGUAUUGGCUAGAGACUUCAGAACUGCCAAUUCACAUACCAAAAAAUUCGGCUACUUUGCCAAAAAGGAACAAAAAUAAAAAAUGAAAUGGGUUCUAAGAAAGUACAAUGAAAAUCGGCUAGACUAAUUGAGAACGAUUUUAACGGUUUGUUCUCAGCGAGAAUCCAAAUAAAAACAAAGAGAUCUUUCUGAGAUAUCAGUGGAACUGUAUCAGUGGUUCAGCAACAGCCAUCUAGCCUUAGCUGCUUUAGAGAUAGUUCAGUAGCUUUGGACUUCAAAAGCAUCUUUUUUCCAUCAACAUUCCUUUUUCACAACUUGCUUUUUCAACAAAAUCUUAACUAAAUAUAAAUACUACAGAACUAAUUCACUAGAAACAAAGUCUUGCAAAGAAAAUAUCUCCCACGUGAUAUCCAGGGUAGGGUUUCAAAUAACAGGCUGUUGCAUCCUGUAUUGCCCAAGAUGCAACAAAAAAAAUGGACUGGAAGAGAGAGAGAGAGAGA